CCUACGGGUGGCAGCAGUGGGGAAUAUUGGACAAUGGGGGCAACCCUGAUCCAGCCAUGCCGCGUGUGUGAAGAAGGCCCUCGGGUUGUAAAGCACUUUCAGUGAGGAAGAACGCCUGGUGGUUAAUACCCAUCAGGAAAGACAUCACUCACAGAAGAAGCACCGGCUAACUCCGUGCCAGCAGCCGCGGUAAUACGGAGGGUGCGAGUGUUAAUCGGAAUUACUGGGCGUAAAGCGCGCGUAGGUGGCUUGAUAAGCCGGUUGUGAAAGCCCCGGGCUCAACCUGGGAACGGCAUCCGGAACUGUCAAGCUAGAGUGCAGGAGAGGAAGGUAGAAUUCCCGGUGUAGCGGUGAAAUGCGUAGAGAUCGGGAGGAAUACCAGUGGCGAAGGCGGCCUUCUGGACUGACACUGACACUGAGGUGCGAAAGCGUGGGUAGCAAACAGGAUUAGAUACCCCUGUAGUC
Molecule: ribosomal RNA, 465 nt
Filed under: Vreelandella stevensii
Lineage: Bacteria; Pseudomonadati; Pseudomonadota; Gammaproteobacteria; Oceanospirillales; Halomonadaceae
Description: partial 16S ribosomal RNA
Rfam family: Bacterial small subunit ribosomal RNA
Source: RNAcentral